This 446-nucleotide ribosomal RNA is filed under the name uncultured bacterium. RNAcentral describes it as "partial 16S ribosomal RNA". It matches the Rfam family "Bacterial small subunit ribosomal RNA", at positions 338 to 795 of the family's 1533-position model. The record is from RNAcentral.
CCUACGGGUGGCAGCAGUCGUGAAUCAUUCACAAUGGGGGAAACCCUGAUGGUGCGACGCCGCGUGGGGGAAUGAAGGUCUUCGGAUUGUAAACCCCUGUCAUGUGGGCGCAAAUUAAAAAGAUAGUACCACAAGAGGAAGAGACUGCUAACUCUGUGCCAGCAGCCGCGGUAAUACAGAGGUCUCAAGCGUGGUGCGGAAUCACUGGGCGUAAGGCGGGCGUAGGCUGUAUCGUAAGUCGUGUGUGAAAGGCGCGGGCUCAACCCGCGGACGGCACAUGAUACUGCGAGACUAGAGUAAUGGAGGGGGAACCGGAAUUCUCGGUGUAGCAGUGAAAUGCGUAGAUAUCGAGAGGAACACUCGUGGCGAAGGCGGGUUCCUGGACAUUAACUGACGCUGAGGCACGAAGGCCAGGGGAGCGAAAGGGAUUAGAUACCCCAGUAGUC